GGACGAACGCUGGCGGCGUGCUUAACCCAUGCAAGUCGAACGGAAAGGCCCUGCUUUUGUGGGGUGCUCGAGUGGCGAACGGGUGAGUAACGCGUGAGUAACCUGCCCUUGACUUUGGGAUAACUUCAGGAAACUGGGGCUAAUACCGGAUAGGAGCUCCUGCUGCAUGGUGGGGGUUGGAAAGUUUCGGCGGUUGGGGAUGGACUCGCGGCUUAUCAGCUUGUUGGUGGGGUAGUGGCUUACCAAGGCUUUGACGGGUAGCCGGCCUGAGAGGGUGACCGGCCACAUUGGGACUGAGAUACGGCCCAGACUCCUACGGGAGGCAGCAGUGGGGAAUAUUGCACAAUGGGCGGAAGCCUGAUGCAGCAACGCCGCGUGCGGGAUGACGGCCUUCGGGUUGUAAACCGCUUUCGCCUGUGACGAAGCGUGAGUGACGGUAAUGGGUAAAGAAGCACCGGCUAACUACGUG
Molecule: ribosomal RNA, 469 nt
Filed under: uncultured bacterium
Lineage: Bacteria
Description: partial 16S ribosomal RNA
Rfam family: Bacterial small subunit ribosomal RNA
Source: RNAcentral